RNAcentral lists this long non-coding RNA (1274 nucleotides) under Chinchilla lanigera (long-tailed chinchilla). Its description in RNAcentral is "lncRNA (ENSCLAG00000028967.1)". Lineage: Eukaryota; Metazoa; Chordata; Mammalia; Rodentia; Chinchillidae. The record is from RNAcentral.
UCUCCAUCCGAACUGUUUGGCGGUGCCCGGUGCCGCGCAGGUUGGAGCCGGGUCUCCAGGUGGCCGGGACUCUGCGCCUCUGUCCUCCGCGCUGCCCAGCCUCACGCGGGGCCGUGGUCGCCUCGGCCUCUCCGUCCCCCAAGGCCCGGGACCCGCCCUGGUCAGGACUCCCUGCUAACGCCGCUCCUCCUGCAGGGCUCAGAAUCGGCAGCACCUCCUCCUUGGCGUCCUCCCGGUUGCCCCCACAAGACAGAACAGAAGAGGAGAUGCACAGUCCUGAGACGUGAGUCAACGCUGCACCCUGGCCCGCCUUCGCACCUCCGCCAGGGGCUCCCCCGUGGGGGGCAGGGGCUUUUGGGGGGGGCAGUGGCUCCCGGGACCUCCCGAGGCAAGGACACACGGGCGGUGGGGGGCCCGACGCUCUCCGACGGCUCCAGGCAGCCCCUCGCGAAGCUCAGGUCGGCCCUCCCGACGCUGCAGAGCAGGGCCGGCCCCGCGCUGAGCCAGCUAGGGUCCGGGCUGCGCUCCGGGGCGGGCGGGGUGACGCUGUGUGCGCGCCGUCUCCCGCGGACGGCCCUGACCACCUCCCCACACUGCCCAGAGGCCGCUGGGGUCAACCCACCCCCACGCCCUUCUCAGCCUCCCCAAACCCAGCUGCACCCGCCGAGCACAGCCCUGCCUGCCUGCUGCCCCACGGCACGAGGGCAGACGGACCGCGGCGCCGUCCCACUGCCCCGCUUCUGAGAGCACCCUGUCCUCAGGACCCUGCCCCUUGGCCCUUGCCUGACGGCCCCAGUCCUGGGCGCAGCCCGAGACGGAGACCUGGGGACGGUGGUGUUCAGCCAGGGCCGGGUGGGGAGUGGCUGCCGUGGGGUUUGGAGGUGACGGCUGACAGCUGUGGGGGUUCCUCUGGGGUGACAAAAACGCUCCCGAGUUGACUGUAGCAAGGGCUGCACAGCUGUAAGGUGACCAAAAAACACUGACUUCUACACUGGUAGUGGGGAACCUGUUAGAUAUGCGAAUUAUAUGUAAAUCAAGUUAUAAUAACGGGCUCUGAGCCGGGCGUAGUGGCGCACGCCUGUAGUCCCAGCACUCGGGAGGCUGAGGCAGGAGGAUCGCCGGGAGUUCGAGGCCAGCCUGGGCUACAGAGUGAGCUCAAGGCCAGCCUGAACUGCAGAGUGAGACCCCGUCUCAGAAGCCCGGGCGGGACGGCUGUGCCACCCCCGGGGGAGCUGCGUGGGAGGCCGGCACACAGCAGCGCCCGCGGCGGGGGG